RNAcentral lists this unclassified non-coding RNA (340 nucleotides) under soil metagenome. RNAcentral's name for it is "partial contains 5.8S ribosomal RNA, internal transcribed spacer 2, and large subunit ribosomal RNA". The stretch from base 1 to 120 matches the Rfam family "5.8S ribosomal RNA", at positions 35 to 154 of the family's 154-position model. The record is from RNAcentral.
GAUGAAGAACGCAGCGAAACGCGAUAGUUAAUGUGAAUUGCAGAAUUCAGUGAAUCAUCGAGUCUUUGAACGCACAUUGCGCCCAUUGGUAUUCCGUUGGGCAUGUCUGUUUGAGCGUCAUUACAACAGUUCAGCGUAAGCUGGUUAUGAGUUCUGUUUUUUUAAACAAAAAACAGGCUUUAAAAUGUAUGUUCUGCAGGUCGCUUUGCUAAACCCUAAACAUUAAAUACUGUUCUAGUGAAGCAUUUGCGACUCUGCCUGAAAAAAAACUUUUGUUAAAGUUUGACCUCAGAUCAGACAAGGUUACCCGCUGAACUUAAGCAUAUCAAUAAGCGGAGGA